GGGGGAGUGGUCUAACUUGGUAUGAUGCCUGCCUUGGGCGCAGGAGGUUCCAGGUUCAAAUCCUGGCUCCCCCA
This 74-nucleotide transfer RNA is filed under the name Candidatus Naiadarchaeum limnaeum. It matches the Rfam family "tRNA". From Rfam's summary of the family: Transfer RNA (tRNA) molecules are approximately 80 nucleotides in length. Their secondary structure includes four short double-helical elements and three loops (D, anti-codon, and T loops). The record is from Rfam by way of RNAcentral. Lineage: Archaea; Nanobdellati; Candidatus Undinarchaeota; Candidatus Undinarchaeia; Candidatus Naiadarchaeales; Candidatus Naiadarchaeaceae.